This 400-nucleotide unclassified non-coding RNA is filed under the name soil metagenome. RNAcentral's name for it is "partial contains 5.8S ribosomal RNA, internal transcribed spacer 2, and large subunit ribosomal RNA". The stretch from base 1 to 122 matches the Rfam family "5.8S ribosomal RNA", at positions 35 to 154 of the family's 154-position model. The record is from RNAcentral.
GAUGAAGAACGUAGCGAAAUGCGAUACUUGGUGUGAAUUGCAGAAUCCCGUGAACCAUCGAGUCUUUGAACGCAAGUUGCGCCUCAAGCCAUUAGGUUGAGGGCACGUCUGCCUGGGCGUCACAUAUCGUUGCCUGAUGCCAGUUUCCUCGUGAUGGGUGACUGUGCAGGGCGAAUGAUGGCUUCCCGUGAGCAUUGUUGCCUCAUGGUUGGUUGAAAAUUGAGUCCUUGGUAGGGAGCGCCGUGAUAGAUGGUGGUUGAGUGACGAACGAGACACAAUCAUGUGAGACCCCUACCGAUUUUGGCCUUCAUGACCCACAUGCGUCUUUGGAACGCUCAUGACGAGACCUCAGGUCAGGCGGGGCUACCCGCUGAGUUCAAGCAUAUCAAUAAGCGGAGGA